Molecule: small nuclear RNA, 22 nt
Filed under: Arabidopsis thaliana (thale cress)
Lineage: Eukaryota; Viridiplantae; Streptophyta; Magnoliopsida; Brassicales; Brassicaceae
Description: snRNA_08417
Source: RNAcentral
UUACCACCGAGCGGCGGGUAGA